CUCAUCCUUCUUUUCUCCCUCUCUUUUUUUUGCUGAAUACCUAGCCACUGCAUUCUUUAUAUACCCAAUUCGAGCUCCAUAUUAUCACACUCAUCUUGAUCAUAUCUGCAAUUGCCAAGCUCGAAGAUGGCUCAUUCUCUCAGAUCAAAUGUUGGUCAGCCACUGGGGAACGGACGCCCACCACUGGGAUACAGACGCCCACCACUGGGGAACGGACGAGCAGGAGAAACUCAUGGUCAAACACGGAGGCAAUCGAAGGCUGAUCGGAGUCGUCGAACAUGGAAUGAAAGAGAGGAGGUGUUUCUCCUAGGUACGUUGAAAGAUCUUAUUGCUCGCGGAUGGAAGGCUGAUAAUGGAUUUCGGGGCGGUUACCAUCAAAAAAUUGAAGCCGAAAUGCGCCGAGAAUUUCCAGGUACUGAUAUAAAGGC
Non-coding RNA from Salvia hispanica, 428 nucleotides. The record is from RefSeq and is a predicted model, not a curated record. Lineage: Eukaryota; Viridiplantae; Streptophyta; Magnoliopsida; Lamiales; Lamiaceae.